GAGGGUAUAGCUCAGUGAUAGAGUACAUGCCUAGCAUGCAUGAGGUCCUGGGUUCAAUCCUCAGUACCUCCC
RNAcentral lists this transfer RNA (72 nucleotides) under Camelus bactrianus (Bactrian camel). It matches the Rfam family "tRNA". From Rfam's summary of the family: Transfer RNA (tRNA) molecules are approximately 80 nucleotides in length. Their secondary structure includes four short double-helical elements and three loops (D, anti-codon, and T loops). Lineage: Eukaryota; Metazoa; Chordata; Mammalia; Artiodactyla; Camelidae. The record is from Rfam by way of RNAcentral. RNAcentral also lists the same sequence under 2 other names.